GGGGUGCUCGAGUGGCGAACGGGUGAGUAACACGCGAGUAACCUGCCCUUGACUUUGGGAUAACUUCAGGAAACUGGGGCUAAUACCGGAUAGGAGCUCCUGCUGCAUGGUGGGGGUUGGAAAGUUUCGGCGGUUGGGGAUGGACUCGCGGCUUAUCAGCUUGUUGGUGGGGUAGUGGCUUACCAAGGCUUUGACGGGUAGCCGGCCUGAGAGGGUGACCGGCCACAUCGGGACUGAGAUACGGCCCAG
RNAcentral lists this ribosomal RNA (249 nucleotides) under uncultured Actinomycetales bacterium. RNAcentral describes it as "partial 16S ribosomal RNA". It matches the Rfam family "Bacterial small subunit ribosomal RNA", at positions 84 to 334 of the family's 1533-position model. Lineage: Bacteria; Bacillati; Actinomycetota; Actinomycetes; Actinomycetales. The record is from RNAcentral.